Molecule: ribosomal RNA, 490 nt
Filed under: uncultured bacterium
Lineage: Bacteria
Description: partial 16S ribosomal RNA
Rfam family: Bacterial small subunit ribosomal RNA
Source: RNAcentral
GAUGAACGCUAGCUACAGGCUUAACACAUGCAAGUCGCGGGGCAGCAUGGGGGUUGCUUGCAAUCCCCGAUGGCGACCGGCGCACGGGUGAGUAACGCGUAUCCAACCUGCCCUUCACCACGGGAUAACCCGGCGAAAGUCGGACUAAUACCGUAUGUUGUCCAUUGACGGCAUCCGAUUUGGACGAACGGUUUGGCGGUGAAGGAUGGGGAUGCGUCCGAUUAGCUGGACGGCGGGGUGACGGCCCACCGUGGCGACGAUCGGUAGGGGUUCUGAGAGGAAGGUCCCCGACACUGGAACUGAGACACGGUCCAGGGUCCUACGGGAGGCAGCAGUGAGGAAUAUUGGUCAAUGGGCGUAAGCCUGAACCAGCCAAGUAGCGUGCAGGAUGGCGGCCCUAUGGGUUGUAAACUGCUUUUAUGCGGGGAUAAAGUGGCCCACGUGUGGGUUUUUGCAGGUACCGCAUGAAUAAGGACCGGCUAAUUCCGUG